This 529-nucleotide ribosomal RNA is filed under the name uncultured bacterium. Its description in RNAcentral is "bacterial SSU rRNA". It matches the Rfam family "Bacterial small subunit ribosomal RNA", at positions 777 to 1304 of the family's 1533-position model. The record is from RNAcentral.
AAUAGAUACCCGGGUAGUCCACGCCGUAAACGAUGAGUGCUAAGUGUUAGAGGGUUUCCGCCCUUUAGUGCUGCAGCUAACGCAUUAAGCACUCCGCCUGGGGAGUACGGCCGCAAGGCUGAAACUCAAAGGAAUUGACGGGGGCCCGCACAAGCGGUGGAGCAUGUGGUUUAAUUCGAAGCAACGCGAAGAACCUUACCAGGUCUUGACAUCCUCUGCCAACCCUAGAGAUAGGGCGUUCCCCUUCGGGGGACAGAGUGACAGGUGGUGCAUGGUUGUCGUCAGCUCGUGUCGUGAGAUGUUGGGUUAAGUCCCGCAACGAGCGCAACCCUUGAUCUUAGUUGCCAGCAUUCAGUUGGGCACUCUAAGGUGACUGCCGGUGACAAACCGGAGGAAGGUGGGGAUGACGUCAAAUCAUCAUGCCCCUUAUGACCUGGGCUACACACGUGCUACAAUGGAUGGUACAAAGAGCAGCGAACCCGCGAGGGUAAGCCAAUCUCAUAAAGCCAUUCUCAGUUCGGAUUGUAGG